RNAcentral lists this ribosomal RNA (253 nucleotides) under uncultured bacterium. RNAcentral's name for it is "partial 16S ribosomal RNA". It matches the Rfam family "Bacterial small subunit ribosomal RNA", at positions 524 to 776 of the family's 1533-position model. The record is from RNAcentral.
UACGUAGGGGGCGAGCGUUGUCCGGAGUUACUGGGCGCAAAGCGCACGCAGGCGGUCUGUUAAGUUUGGAGUGACAGUUGGUGGCUCAACCACCAAAGUGCUUUGAAAACUGAUAGACUUGAGGGCUUCAGAGGGACACGGAAUUCCGGGUGGAGUGGUGAAAUGCGUAGAGAUCCGGAGGAACACCAAAGGCGAAGGCAGUGUCCUGGGGAGUACCUGACGCUCAGGUGCGAAAGCCAGGGGAGCGAACGGG